GAAGUGAGCCAAGCGGUCGCGGCGGAUUGGCUGAGUCGCCCGGCAUGUCCGACGACUCGGCGGUUCGCCGAGGAAAGUCCGGGCUUCAAAGGACAGGGUGGUGGGUAACUCCCACCGGUCGCGAGACCAGGGACAGUGCCACAGAAAACAAACCGCCGCGCGGGUCACUCCGCGAGGUAAGGGUGAAACGGUGCGGUAAGAGCGCACCAGCAGGCCGGGUGACCGGUCUGGCUCGGCAAACCCCACCCGAAGCAAGGCCAAGCAGAGAGCAAGUCGAGUCGCGCGAACUCCGGUUCGUAACGCUCGACGCGGCACGGUUCGCGCCGGACGACUCUCGGGUCGGCUGCUUGAGGCGGCGAGCAAUCGCCGUCCCAGAGGAAUGACCGCUCACGACAGAACCCGGCUUACCGGCUCACUUCGGGG
Molecule: RNase P RNA, 423 nt
Filed under: Planctomycetota bacterium
Lineage: Bacteria; Pseudomonadati; Planctomycetota
Description: Planctomycetes bacterium (freshwater metagenome) RNase P RNA component class A
Rfam family: Bacterial RNase P class A
About the family: Ribonuclease P (RNase P) is a ubiquitous endoribonuclease, found in archaea, bacteria and eukarya as well as chloroplasts and mitochondria.
Source: RNAcentral